RNAcentral lists this ribosomal RNA (200 nucleotides) under uncultured bacterium. RNAcentral's name for it is "partial 16S ribosomal RNA". It matches the Rfam family "Bacterial small subunit ribosomal RNA", at positions 8 to 205 of the family's 1533-position model. The record is from RNAcentral.
AGAGUUUGAUCCUGGCUCAGAACGAACGCUGGCGGCGUGCUUAAGACAUGCAAGUCGAGCGAGAAAGGGGCUUCGGCCCUGAGUACAGCGGCGCACGGGUGCGUAACACGUGGGUAAUCUGCCUUCGGGUUCGGGAUAACGCGGGGAAACCUGCGCUAAUACCGGGCAAGACCACGAGGUCCUCGGACUUCGCGGUAAAA